GCAUUGGUGGUUCAUUGGUAGAAUGCUCGCCUGCCAAGCUGGCGACCCGGGUUCGAUUCCCAGCCAAUGCA
Molecule: non-coding RNA, 71 nt
Organism: Angiostrongylus cantonensis (rat lungworm)
Lineage: Eukaryota; Metazoa; Nematoda; Chromadorea; Rhabditida; Metastrongylidae
Source: Rfam